AUGUGUGGUUAUCAAGAGGAAUCGCUGUUUCAUUCCCUGGUAACAUGUGAACAUGCGAAGCUAUGCUGGAAAGAGGCAGAAACUUUCUUUGAACUUAAAGUGCCACGGCUGCACCCAGCUACGUGGUCGAGGGACUUACUUGAUCCCAACUUCAUUGGGAAAGACAGAGCGGCUAUUAUUAUAUCAGUCAUGUGGAUUAUUUGGUCAAGCAGGAAUAGGUACACUCACGAAGAAGUCAAGUACCAGCCCGGGCGAUCCAUGGUCCUAGUGAAGGAACUCAUUCAAGCCUUGUAUAUCCCUACUGAAGGGGUUGACAAGAGAAAUUUCGGCAAGGAGAAAUGGAAACCGCCGGAAGAAGGGUGGUGCAAGAUCAAUACGGAUGCUUCUGUUAAUGUCAUUGGAGGAUCAUCGGCGAUUGGGAUGGUGGCGCAGGACCAUGCCGGAGAGAUUAUGCUAGCCACAGGCCGUAAGUUGCCGGGCGUGACCGACCCUUAUUGCGCUGAACUGGUAGGUGUCAGAGAAGCUGUGUGUCUGGCUAUGGAGAAGGGCUGGACACGGGUGACCAUUGAGUCGGACUGCAAAACUAUCAUAGACGAGUAUAUGGCGACAGAGAGCAGGUCGACAGGAAGCCCAAUUAUCAGCGAGAUCAAAUCCUAUCUCCACAAUUUUCAGGGACUUCGAAUCAACUAUGUAAGUAGAGAGGCCAAUGAGGCUGCUCACUGGUGUGCUAGAGAGAGCCUUGCAAGUACCUCGAAUGUAACUUCUUUUGAUGUUUUCCCUGCUUCAUUGAUUGCCUUGGUGCAAUCGGAUGUAAACCGUCAACUUAAUGAAUAA
Molecule: ribosomal RNA, 834 nt
Filed under: Triticum aestivum (bread wheat)
Lineage: Eukaryota; Viridiplantae; Streptophyta; Magnoliopsida; Poales; Poaceae
Description: partial small subunit ribosomal RNA
Source: RNAcentral